AUUGAACGCUGGCGGUAGGCCUAACACAUGCAAGUCGAACGCGAAAGUCCUUCGGGAUGAGUAGAGUGGCGGACGGGUGGAGUAACGCGUAGGAAUCUAUCCUGUAGUGGGGGAGUAACGUUUCGAAAGGAACGCUAAUACCGCAUACGCCCCAAGGGGGAAAGCGGGGGAUCUUCGGACCUCGUGCUAUAGGAGGAGCCUGCGUCGGAUUAGCUAGUUGGUGAGGUAAAGGCUCACCAAGGCGACGAUCCGUAGCUGGUCUGAGAGGAUGAUCAGCCACACCGGAACUGAGACACGGUCCGGACUCCUACGGGAGGCAGCAGUGGGGAAUAUUGCGCAAUGGGCGAAAGCCUGACGCAGCCAUACCGCGUGUGUGAAGAAGGCCUCGG
RNAcentral lists this ribosomal RNA (389 nucleotides) under uncultured bacterium. RNAcentral's name for it is "bacterial SSU rRNA". It matches the Rfam family "Bacterial small subunit ribosomal RNA", at positions 29 to 420 of the family's 1533-position model. The record is from RNAcentral.